GACGAACGCUGGCGGCGUGCUUAACACAUGCAAGUCGAACGGUAAGGCCCUUCGGGGUACACGAGUGGCGAACGGGUGAGUAACACGUGGGUGAUCUGCCCUGCACUUCGGGAUAAGCCUGGGAAACUGGGUCUAAUACCGGAUAGGACCACUGCCUACAUGGGUGGUGGUGGAAAGCUUUUGCGGUGUGGGAUGGGCCCGCGGCCUAUCAGCUUGUUGGUGGGGUGAUGGCCUACCAAGGCGACGACGGGUAGCCGGCCUGAGAGGGUGACCGGCCACACUGGGACUGAGAUACGGCCCGGACUCAUACGGGAGGCAGCAGUGGGGAAUAUUGUACAAUGGGCGCAAGCCUGAUGCAGCGACGCCGCGUGAGGGAUGACGGCCUUCGGGUUGUAAACCUCUUUCAGCACCGACGAAGCGCAAGUGACGGUAGGUGCAGAAGAAGGACCGGCCAACUACGUGCCAGCCGCCGCGGUAA
Molecule: ribosomal RNA, 478 nt
Filed under: uncultured bacterium
Lineage: Bacteria
Description: partial 16S ribosomal RNA
Rfam family: Bacterial small subunit ribosomal RNA
Source: RNAcentral